RNAcentral lists this unclassified non-coding RNA (302 nucleotides) under Athalia rosae (coleseed sawfly). Its description in RNAcentral is "misc RNA ENSAEAG00005004478.1". The record is from RNAcentral. Lineage: Eukaryota; Metazoa; Arthropoda; Insecta; Hymenoptera; Athaliidae.
CAGAGUUCUUCGUAGGUAGAAAAAUUGCCGUAAUAUACAUAAAGCCGACACUUGUAGUCGUCUCGACGGUGGACGUCGGUGGAGAGGUAUGCCCGGGAGUACGUGUAUAUUUGCAUUUGUAUAUCGGUUUUAUCACCUUUUCAUCGGCGCGUUGCGAAACGCAGACUGCGAAUACCGGGGGGGGGGAUAUCGAGUUAGGUUGGAUUUUCCGAAUUGUAAUUACCAAUUUUGCGGGCACUUUGGAUCGCGAGGUGACGACGAUGCCGGUGCUCCUGCUUCGCGUAAUCCGGCGGUCCUCUGUA